RNAcentral lists this ribosomal RNA (465 nucleotides) under uncultured bacterium. RNAcentral describes it as "partial 16S ribosomal RNA". It matches the Rfam family "Bacterial small subunit ribosomal RNA", at positions 338 to 795 of the family's 1533-position model. The record is from RNAcentral.
ACUACGGGGGGCUGCAGUGGGGAAUAUUGCGCAAUGGGCGAAAGCCUGACGCAGCGACGCCGCGUGAGGGAUGAAGGUCUUCGGAUCGUAAACCUCUGUCAGCAGGGAAGAACGGUCACUGUGCUAAUCAGCAGUGAAUUGACGGUACCUGCAAAGGAAGCACCGGCUAAAUCCGUGCCAGCAGCCGCGGUAAUACGGAGGGUGCGGGCGUUAAUCGGAAUUACGGGGCGUAAAGCGCUCGUAGGCGUGAUGUCAAGUAAAGGGUGAAAUCCCCGCGCUCAACGUGGGAAGUGCCUGUGAAACUGGCAAACUGGAGUGUGUGAGAGGAUAGUGGAAUUCCAGGUGUAGGAGUGAAAUCCGUAGAUAUCUGGAGGAACAUCAGUGGCGAAGGCGACUAUCUGGCACAUAACUGACGCUGAGGAGCGAAAGCGUGGGUAGCAAACAGGAUUAGAUACCCUUGUAGUC